Non-coding RNA from Pelobates cultripes (western spadefoot toad), 230 nucleotides. NCBI's taxonomy places the organism in Eukaryota, Metazoa, Chordata, Amphibia, Anura, Pelobatidae. The record is from the annotation of a GenBank genome assembly.
ACUGCAUACACUACACUAACACACACACUGCAUUCACUAACACACACACUGCAUUCACUACAUUAACACACACACACACACUGCAUACACUACACUAACAUACACACACUGCAUUCACUACACUAACACACACACUGCACUCACUGCACUAACACACACACACUGCAUACACUACACUAACACACACACUCACUACACUAAACUAACACACACACACUCUGCAUUCACAC